UGCUUGUAUGAAGAUAGUGACUUAUCUCAAAUGAUCGCUCAGUUACAGGUUGAACUCCUUGUUCUACUCUUUCCCCACUUCUCACUACUGCACUUGACCAGUCAACA
This is an unclassified non-coding RNA of Chlorocebus sabaeus (green monkey), 107 nucleotides long. It matches the Rfam family "Y RNA". From Rfam's summary of the family: Y RNAs are components of the Ro ribonucleoprotein particle (Ro RNP), in association with Ro60 and La proteins. The Y RNAs and Ro60 and La proteins are well conserved, but the function of the Ro RNP is not known. In humans the RNA component can be one of four small RNAs -- hY1, hY3, hY4 and hY5. The record is from Ensembl. NCBI's taxonomy places the organism in Eukaryota, Metazoa, Chordata, Mammalia, Primates, Cercopithecidae.